GCCUGAGUGGCUUAGUCGGGUAAGCAUCUGGCUUCUGCUCAGCUCAUGAUCUCAUGGUUUGUGGGUUUGAGUCCCACAUCGGGCC
RNAcentral lists this transfer RNA (85 nucleotides) under Felis catus (domestic cat). It matches the Rfam family "tRNA". From Rfam's summary of the family: Transfer RNA (tRNA) molecules are approximately 80 nucleotides in length. Their secondary structure includes four short double-helical elements and three loops (D, anti-codon, and T loops). Further hydrogen bonds mediate the characteristic L-shaped molecular structure. tRNAs have two regions of fundamental functional importance: the anti-codon, which is responsible for specific mRNA codon recognition, and the 3' end, to which the tRNAs corresponding amino acid is attached (by aminoacyl-tRNA synthetases). tRNAs cope with the degeneracy of the genetic code in two manners: having more than one tRNA (with a specific anti-codon) for a particular amino acid; and 'wobble' base-pairing, i.e. permitting non-standard base-pairing at the 3rd anti-codon position. Lineage: Eukaryota; Metazoa; Chordata; Mammalia; Carnivora; Felidae. The record is from Rfam by way of RNAcentral.